GACGAACGCUGGCGGCGUGCUUAACACAUGCAAGUCGAACGGAAAGGCCCGCCACCUUGGUGGUGGGUACUCGAGUGGCGAACGGGUGAGUAACACGUGGGUGAUCUGCCCCGCACUGUGGGAUAAGCCUGGGAAACUGGGUCUAAUACCACAUACGACCAUGGCGUAGGGGUCAUGGUGGAAAGCUUUUGCGGUGUGGGAUGAGCCCGCGGCCUAUCAGCUUGUUGGUGGGGUAAUGGCCUACCAAGGCGGCGACGGGUAGCCGGCCUGAGAGGGUGGACGGCCACAUUGGGACUGAGACACGGCCCAGACUCCUACGGGAGGCAGCAGUGGGGAAUAUUGCACAAUGGGCGCAAGCCUGAUGCAGCGACGCCGCGUGGGGGAUGGAAGGCCUUCGGGUUGUAAACUCCUUUCGCCCGGGACGAAGCCCACCUGGUGGGCGACGUACCGGAGAAG
RNAcentral lists this ribosomal RNA (456 nucleotides) under Corynebacterium durum. RNAcentral describes it as "bacterial SSU rRNA". It matches the Rfam family "Bacterial small subunit ribosomal RNA", at positions 28 to 487 of the family's 1533-position model. The record is from RNAcentral. Lineage: Bacteria; Bacillati; Actinomycetota; Actinomycetes; Mycobacteriales; Corynebacteriaceae.